This 253-nucleotide ribosomal RNA is filed under the name uncultured bacterium. RNAcentral's name for it is "partial 16S ribosomal RNA". It matches the Rfam family "Bacterial small subunit ribosomal RNA", at positions 524 to 776 of the family's 1533-position model. The record is from RNAcentral.
GACGAACCGUAUGAACGUUAUUCGGAAUCACUGGGCUUAAAGGGUGCGUAGGCGGCGCGACAAGUUGGGUGUGAAAUCCCUCGGCUCAACCGAGGAACUGCGCCCAAAACUGUCGUGCUCGAGGGAGACAGAGGUGAGCGGAACUUAGGGUGGAGCGGUGAAAUGCGUUGAUAUCCUAAGGAACACCGGUGGCGAAAGCGGCUCACUGGGUCUCUUCUGACGCUGAGGCACGAAAGCGUGGGGAGCAAACAGG